UUGCUUCAGCAGCAUAUAUACUAAAAUUAGAAUGAUAUAUAGGAGAUUAGUAUGGAUCCUAAUAAGAAUAAUAUGCAAAUUUGUGACAUGUUCCAUAUUUUU
Small nuclear RNA from Suncus etruscus (white-toothed pygmy shrew), 102 nucleotides. The record is from RefSeq and is a predicted model, not a curated record. NCBI's taxonomy places the organism in Eukaryota, Metazoa, Chordata, Mammalia, Eulipotyphla, Soricidae.